AAUAUAAAAAAGAAGAUGUGGUAUGAUUGCCAAUGAGACAACUAUCCACAAAAGACUAAAAUGACACAGACAUUAACAACUAUAGGUCACCGUACGGCCUUCAACAAUGAGCAAAGCCCAUACCGCAUAAUCAGCUAUAAAAGGCCCGAUAAGACAAUGUAAAACAAUUCAAACGAGAAAACUAACGGCCUUAUUUAUGUAAAAAAAAAUGAACGAAAAACAAAUAUGUAACACAUAAACAAACGACAACGACUGAAUAACAGGCUCCUGACUUGAGACAGGCAC
This 285-nucleotide long non-coding RNA is filed under the name Mytilus galloprovincialis (Mediterranean mussel). Lineage: Eukaryota; Metazoa; Mollusca; Bivalvia; Mytilida; Mytilidae. The record is from RNAcentral.